Molecule: ribosomal RNA, 969 nt
Filed under: uncultured bacterium
Lineage: Bacteria
Description: bacterial SSU rRNA
Rfam family: Bacterial small subunit ribosomal RNA
Source: RNAcentral
AGAGUUUGAUCAUGGCUCAGAACGAACGCUGGCGGCGUGGAUAAGACAUGCAAGUCGGACGAGAGUUUUCGUUGUAGCAAUACGAUGGAAAGUCUAGUGGCGAACGGGUGCUUAACACGUAGGCAACCUGCCAAGAAGUGGGGGACAGCUCGCCGAAAGGCGGAUUAAUACCGCAUGUGAUUAGAGAGGACAUCCUUUCGAAAUUAAAGUCGGGGCAACCUGACGCUUCUUGUGGGGCCCGCGGCCUAUCAGCUAGUUGGUGAGGUAACGGCUCACCAAGGCUUUGACGGGUAGCUGGUCUGAGAGGACGACCAGCCACACUGGGACUGAGACACGGCCCAGACACCUACGGGUGGCAGCAGUCGAGAAUUUUUGACAAUGGGGGAAACCCUGAUCGAGCGACGCCGCGUGGAGGAUGAAGGUCUUCGGAUUGUAAACUCCUGUCAUUGGGGAACAAUGCACAGAUAUUAACUGUAUUUGUGUUGAUAGUACCCGAAGAGGAAGAGACGGCUAACUCUGUGCCAGCAGCCGCGGUAAUACAGAGGUCUCAAGCGUUGUUCGGAUUCAUUGGGCGUAAAGGGUGCGUAGGCGGCGCGGUAAGUCGGGUGUGAAAUCUCGGAGCUUAACUCCGAAACUGCAUUCGAUACUGCCGUGCUUGAGGACUGGAGAGGAGACUGGAAUUUACGGUGUAGCGGUGAAAUGCGUAGAUAUCGUAAGGAAGACCAGUGGCGAAGGCGGGUCUCUGGACAGUUCCUGACGCUGAGGCACGAAAGUCAGGGGAGCAAACGGGAUUAGAUACCCCGGUAGUCCUGACAGUAAACGGUGCACGUUUGGUGUGGGAGGAUUCGACCCCUUCUGCGCCGGAGCUAACGCGUUAAACGUGCCGCCUGGGGAGUACGGUCGCAAGAUUAAAACUCAAAGAAAUUGACGGGGGCCCGCACAAGCGGUGGGAGUAUGUGGCUCAAUUCG